This 368-nucleotide ribosomal RNA is filed under the name uncultured bacterium. RNAcentral's name for it is "bacterial SSU rRNA". It matches the Rfam family "Bacterial small subunit ribosomal RNA", at positions 28 to 396 of the family's 1533-position model. The record is from RNAcentral.
GACGAACGCUGGCGGCGUGCUUAACACAUGCAAGUCGAGCGGUAAGGCCCUUUCGGGGGUACGACGAGCGGCGAACGGGUGAGUAACACGUGGGUGACCUGCCCUCAGCUCUGGGAUAAGCCUGGGAAACUGGGUCUAAUACCGGAUAUGACUCCAUGACGCAUGUUGUGGGGUGGAAAGCCUUGUGCGGCUGAGGAUGGGCCCGCGGCCUAUCAGCUUGUUGGUGGGGUGANGGCCUACCAAGGCGACGACGGGUAGCCGGCCUGAGAGGGCGACCGGCCACACUGGGACUGGGACACGGCCCAGACUCCUACGGGAGGCAGCAGUGGGGAAUCUUGCGCAAUGGGCGAAAGCCUGACGCAGCGACG